This 95-nucleotide transfer RNA is filed under the name Enterobacter hormaechei. Its description in RNAcentral is "tRNA-Sec". It matches the Rfam family "Selenocysteine transfer RNA". Lineage: Bacteria; Pseudomonadati; Pseudomonadota; Gammaproteobacteria; Enterobacterales; Enterobacteriaceae. The record is from RNAcentral. RNAcentral also lists the same sequence under 1 other name.
GGAAGAUCGUCAUCUCCGGUGAGGUGGCUGGACUUCAAAUCCAGUUGGGGGCGCCAGCGUUCCCAGGCAGGUUCGACUCCUGUGAUCUUCCGCCA